Molecule: non-coding RNA, 73 nt
Organism: Nematolebias whitei (Rio pearlfish)
Lineage: Eukaryota; Metazoa; Chordata; Actinopteri; Cyprinodontiformes; Rivulidae
Source: the annotation of a RefSeq genome assembly
GCCUGUAUAGCUCAGUCAAUAGAGCAUCUGACUUAUAAUCUGAUGGUCCAUGGUUCAAGUCCCUGUUCAGGCA